UUAAGUUCAGCGGGUAGUCCUACCUGAUUUGAGAUCAAAUGUUCAAAUGUGUCCUCACAGAGGAGAGACGUUUAUAAGCUCCAGCGAACCUCCAUUGCUGAAGGUUACCUGGCGGGGAAACCACAAGCGUAGAUAGUUAUCACACCUGUGACGCCACCAAAAACUGGCAAGCUAAUUCAUUUAAGAGGAGCUGGCUCACA
This 200-nucleotide unclassified non-coding RNA is filed under the name Thelephoraceae sp. RNAcentral describes it as "partial internal transcribed spacer 2". The record is from RNAcentral. Lineage: Eukaryota; Fungi; Basidiomycota; Agaricomycetes; Thelephorales; Thelephoraceae.